This 72-nucleotide transfer RNA is filed under the name Camelus bactrianus (Bactrian camel). It matches the Rfam family "tRNA". From Rfam's summary of the family: Transfer RNA (tRNA) molecules are approximately 80 nucleotides in length. Their secondary structure includes four short double-helical elements and three loops (D, anti-codon, and T loops). Further hydrogen bonds mediate the characteristic L-shaped molecular structure. tRNAs have two regions of fundamental functional importance: the anti-codon, which is responsible for specific mRNA codon recognition, and the 3' end, to which the tRNAs corresponding amino acid is attached (by aminoacyl-tRNA synthetases). tRNAs cope with the degeneracy of the genetic code in two manners: having more than one tRNA (with a specific anti-codon) for a particular amino acid; and 'wobble' base-pairing, i.e. permitting non-standard base-pairing at the 3rd anti-codon position. The record is from Rfam by way of RNAcentral. Lineage: Eukaryota; Metazoa; Chordata; Mammalia; Artiodactyla; Camelidae. RNAcentral also lists the same sequence under 2 other names.
GGGGGUAUAGCUCAGUGGUCAAGCACGUGCUUAACAUGCACGAGGUCCUGGGCUCAAUCCCCACUACCUCCA